UAACCUGCCCAAGAGACUGGGAUAACACCUGGAAACAGAUGCUAAUACCGGAUAACAACACUAGACGCAUGUCUAGAGUUUGAAAGAUGGUUCUGCUAUCACUCUUGGAUGGACCUGCGGUGCAUUAGCUAGUUGGUAAGGUAACGGCUUACCAAGGCAAUGAUGCAUAGCCGAGUUGAGAGACUGAUCGGCCACAUUGGGACUGAGACACGGCCCAAACUCCUACGGGAGGCAGCAGUAGGGAAUCUUCCACAAUGGACGAAAGUCUGAUGGAGCAACGCCGCGUGAGUGAAGAAGGGUUUCGGCUCGUAAAGCUCUGUUGGUAGUGAAGAAAGAUAGAGGUAGUAACUGGCCUUUAUUUGACGGUAAUUACUUAGAAAGUCACGGCUAACUACGUGCCAGCAGCCGCGGUAAUACGUAGGUGGCAAGCGUUGUCCGGAUUUAUUGGGCGUAAAGCGAGUGCAGGCGGUUCAAUAAGUCUGAUGUGAAAGCCUUCGGCUCAACCGGAGAAUUGCAUCAGAAACUGUUGAACUUGAGUGCAGAAGAGGAGAGUGGAACUCCAUGUGUAGCGGUGGAAUGCGUAUAUAUAUGGAAGAACACCA
Molecule: ribosomal RNA, 602 nt
Filed under: uncultured bacterium
Lineage: Bacteria
Description: bacterial SSU rRNA
Rfam family: Bacterial small subunit ribosomal RNA
Source: RNAcentral